CUGGUCGAGCUGGAUCCUAGUAAGUUGUAUCCUGGCUCAGAUUGAACGCUGGCGGUAUGCUUUACACAUGCAGGUCGAACGGCAGCAUAGGUGCUUGCACCUGAUGGCGAGUGGCGAACGGGUGAGUAAUGCAUCGGAACGUGCCCAGUCGUGGGGGAUAACGCAGCGAAAGCUGUGCUAAUACCGCAUACGAUCUAAGGAUGAAAGCGGGGGACCUUCGGGCCUCGCGCGAUUGGAGCGGCCGAUGUUAGAUUAGGUAGUUGGUGGGGUAAAGGCUCACCAAGCCGACGAUCUAUAGCUGGUCUGAGAGGACGACCAGCCACACUGGAACUGAGACACGGUCCAGACUCCUACGGGAGGCAGCAGUGGGGAAUUUUGGACAAUGGGCGAAAGCCUGAUCCAGCAAUACCGCGUGCAGGAAGAAGGCCCUCGGGUUGUAAACUGCUUUUGUACGGAACGAAACGGUGCGCUCUAAUAAAGUGCGCUAAUGACGGUACCGUAAGAAUAAGCACCGGCUAACUCCGUGCCAGCAGCCGCGGUAAUACGGAGGGUGCAAGCGUUAUCCGGAUUUACUGGGUUUAAAGGGUGUGUAGGCGGAUUUGUAAGUCANUUGUGAAANCCCCNANCUUAACUUGNGAACUGCNAUUGAUACUGUNAAUCUUGAAUACNGUUGANGUGGAUANAAUGUNACNUNUANNNNUNAANUNCNUNNNUNUNNU
This 719-nucleotide ribosomal RNA is filed under the name uncultured beta proteobacterium. RNAcentral's name for it is "partial 16S rRNA". It matches the Rfam family "Bacterial small subunit ribosomal RNA", at positions 1 to 700 of the family's 1533-position model. Lineage: Bacteria; Pseudomonadati; Pseudomonadota; Betaproteobacteria. The record is from RNAcentral.